This 467-nucleotide ribosomal RNA is filed under the name uncultured bacterium. Its description in RNAcentral is "partial 16S ribosomal RNA". It matches the Rfam family "Bacterial small subunit ribosomal RNA", at positions 28 to 506 of the family's 1533-position model. The record is from RNAcentral.
GACGAACGCUGGCGGCGUGCUUAACACAUGCAAGUCGAACGGAAAGGCCCUGCUUUUGUGGGGUGCUCGAGUGGCGAACGGGUGAGUAACACGUGAGUAACCUGCCCUUGACUUUGGGAUAACUUCAGGCAACUGGGGCUAAUACCGGCUAUGAGCUCCUGCUGCAUGGUGGGGGUUGGAAAGUUUCGGCGGUUGGGGAUGGACUCGCGGCUUAUCAGCUUGUUGGUGGGGUAGUGGCUUACCAAGGCUUUGACGGGUAGCCGGCCUGAGAGGGUGAACGGCCACAUUGGGACUGAGAUGCGGCCCAGACUCCUACGGGAGGCAGCAGUGGGGAAUAUUGCACAAAGUGCGGGAGCCUGAUGCAGCAUCGCCGAGUGCGGGAUGACGGCCUUCGGGUAGUAAACCGCUUGCGCCUGUGACGAAGCGUGAGUGACGGUAAUGGGGAAAGAAGCACCGGCUAACUACGU